CUGAUAUUACUAGGUGAACGACAAGGUAAUCAUCAAAAGUGGAUGGUCAGCAUUGAAUCCUUAAUCGUUUGUGAAGGGUCCAACCUCGCCACAUUUCUAACAGGGAUUGCGACAUGUUUCUCCACCUUCUAUAUUCUGAAUCUGCAAUAUCAGGAGGAGGCAGCGUGCACCCUUGAAUUCUUCCAGAGAAAAAGGCCCAGAAGAAGCCUAAGAACAAUCACUAAUAAGUAAAGUGAAUGUUACUUGAUUUCUCAUGAAUGUUACUUGAUUCCCUCCCUGAUUAUCAUUUAUACUCAUCUCUUACUUUAAAUUCUUCUGGACAUAAUCUGUCAGUUUAUUCAUUCUCACAUGUACACAAGGCCAAUGCGAUGCAAUGAUAUUGAUAAUUGAUAAAUAUCUGUGAUGAUUAUUCUGUAUCUUAUUUGAUUUUGAAAUAGUACUACUUUAGAUAACAUGUCUACAUUUUACAUACAUAUGUGAUACACAAGCCUAAUGCAAUGUUUUUAUUUUCCAUGAUAAUUCUUUUGUACCUUAUUUCCGAUUUUUGAAAUACAACUAGAUCACGUGUCUACAUUUUACA
Alosa alosa (allis shad) is the source of this 580-nucleotide long non-coding RNA. RefSeq lists it as uncharacterized. The record is from RefSeq and is a predicted model, not a curated record. The transcript has 3 exons. Lineage: Eukaryota; Metazoa; Chordata; Actinopteri; Clupeiformes; Clupeidae.